CGCGUAGGCGGCUUGGCAAGUUGGAUGUGAAAGCCCUGGGCUCAACCCAGGAAGUGCAUCCAAAACUGCCUGGCUUGAAUCUCGGAGGGGGUCAGGGAAUUCCCGGUGUAGAGGUGAAAUUCGUAGAUAUCGGGAGGAACACCAGUGGCGAAGGCGCUGACCUGGACGAUGAUUGACGCUGAGGCGCGAAAGCGUGGGGAGCAAACAGGAUUAGAUACCCUGGUAGUCC
RNAcentral lists this ribosomal RNA (229 nucleotides) under uncultured bacterium. RNAcentral's name for it is "partial 16S ribosomal RNA". It matches the Rfam family "Bacterial small subunit ribosomal RNA", at positions 568 to 796 of the family's 1533-position model. The record is from RNAcentral.